AUCCAGCUGACGAGUUCUAAAUAGAAUGAAACCUGUUCCUGGAU
RNAcentral lists this non-coding RNA (44 nucleotides) under Schistosoma mattheei. Lineage: Eukaryota; Metazoa; Platyhelminthes; Trematoda; Strigeidida; Schistosomatidae. The record is from RNAcentral.